GUGAAGCUAAGCUGUAUACCAGAUGACAUCAACUGGUCAGUUUCGAGAAGGAUCUCAUUGAUGAGUAAUCAAAUUGAAAAGAUAUCUUGCUGUCCCAAAUGCCCCAACCUUUCCACUCUAUUUCUCAGGGAUAACGACUUGAAGGGUAUACCGGGCAAAUUCUUUCAGUUUAUGCCAUCCCUUGUCGUCUUGGAUCUUUCGCGUAACCGAAGUCUUAGGGACUUGCCGGAAGAAAUUUGCAGCUUGACUUCCUUGCAGUACCUCAAUUUAUCAUACACACGCAUAAGUUCGUUAUCAGUUGGUUUGAAGGGGUUGAGGAAACUAAUAAGCCUGGACCUGGAGUUCACCAAGCUUAAAAGCAUUGAUGGGAUAGGAACAAGCUUACCAAAUCUUCAGGUGUUGAAACUAUAUCGUUCUCGUCAAUAUAUUGAUGCAAGAUCAAUUGAGGAGCUACAACUUUUAGAGCACUUGAAGAUUUUAACAGGAAAUGUGACAGAUUCUUCAAUUUAUCUGGAAAGUAUCCAAAGAGUGGAGGGAUUGGUGCGUUGUGUUCAACGCCUUCGGGUUAUCAAUAUGUCCGCAGAGGUUUUAACAUUAAACACGGUAGCUCUGGGCGGUCUUCGAGAACUUGAGAUUAUAAAUUCCAAAAUCUCUGAGAUAAAUAUAGAUUGGAAAUGCAAAGGGAAAGAAGAUCUUCCUUCUCCAUGCUUCAAGCACCUCUUCAGUAUUGUUAUACAGGAUUUGGAAGGUCCAAAAGAAUUGAGCUGGUUAUUGUUUGCUCCAAAUCUCAAGCAUCUUGAGGUGAUACGUUCACCAAGCCUAGAAGAAAUAAUAAAUAAGGAGAAGGGAAUGAGUAUUAGCAAUGUGACGGUUCCCUUUCCGAAGCUAGAAUCCCUCACUUUAAGGGGUUUGCCUGAAUUAGAGAGAAUAUGCUCAAGUCCUCAGGCUCUUCCAUCCCUGAAAGAUAUUGCUCACUGCCCAAAGCUGCCACUAGAGAGUUUCCAAGACACGAACAGGUAUGUUGAAAUUGAAGAAUGAGGCUCAGAAGCCCCGUUUCAUAUGUCAUAUGUGUGUGAGUGUAUCCUCUCAGUUUCUUAAACUUGGUUUCGGUUUUAUGUUGUGCCUUCGCUUGAAUGACAUUGUUGCAUUUCCACUUCUCUCCAGUUUGUAAGUUGUAACCAUUUCAUACAGUUUCCUUAAAGCUUUUAUUUGUGUGUAUUCCGAUGUAUCUCUAAUAGUAAGAAAACGACAGUGGGUGAGCAAUCAUCUUCUUCAGUUUCUGCAGCGGUUCAACUUCGUUAGCUUCCACUAUCAUGGUGGUCGGCGAAAAUUGCUAUAAUAAUAAUAGAAAAAAAAUUGCUAUGUAACCUAUUAAAUUGUAAUGAGAAAGAAGACACAUUUGAAUGGUAAUAACUAAUAACCUGUGAUCUGGAGCUUGAGUGAUUAAAGAUCAGUGAUGAAAAAAAAGAUCAUAUAUUUUCUGUUUGAAUGAUUUAUGUUCUCUUCUCUUAUUGUUAAUCAGCAUUGAUACCGUGGAAGUAAAAUCGUGGCAUUUCCGACAAGGUUCUUGAUAUUAGUGUUGCCUAAAGUGUAAACUAUUUCGCAAGUUGGCUGUCUUGCAGUUGUAGUAAUUGACUUUUGAUAAAGAGAGUCAACAAAAGUUAAGAUAUUACUAUUCAUCUGGAUCAUUCCUCAGAGAAGAAAAAAUCCAUGGAACGAACAAAAUACUUUCCUCGUUCUAAUCCCCUAUGUCGAGUGUCUGAUCCAGCUAACCAUCACACACUUUGCCGACGAUGUGAUCCACCACUCUCCAUCUGUUUUGCCUGCAAAGACCAUCAUCUGAAGAGAUAUAGGUAUUAUUACUAUUGCUCUACUUGUGAUUUGGAAUUCCACAGACGUUGCCACUUAUACUUCCUCCCAAAGUAAGCCAUCCUUUUUACCUCCACCACUCUCUGACCCUUACCUCCUCAGAUCCUUCUUUCCAUAGCUCUAAUAACCUGUUGAUUGGGAUAUUAUAUCCUCCGGUUCAGAAAAGUCUGAUAUCAAUAUCUGAUGGAAAUCAUGUCAAAUGCAAGUAUUGUUAGAGACAUGUUAAAGACCGAUACUAUCAUUGUCCAGUCUAUAAUUUCAGUCUACACAUCAAUUGUGCCUUAAAUUCACCACCUCUUUCCCUCUUCCACAAAAGAGUCCCUUUGCCAUGUGAUGUUUGUGGCUUCUCUCUUGACUCUACUUGGGAUCCUGUUUACUCUUGCCAACUUUGUAGGUACAUCGCCCAUAAAAAAUGUAUCUACUUGCCUAGUGUUAUUAAGAUCACCCGUCUCCCACACCAUCACAAACUCAGGAUGAGUUUUCACAACCAAAGCAGAUGAAUAAUACUUUUUUACUUUGUGUGUGAUUGUGUAUAAAAGUGAAUGGCAAUUUUGAAAAUUUAACAUUAGAUUUGAUUAAGGCUACAACUAUUAGUUAGAUAUUUUUUUGUUAAAAAUAUUUGAGGUGAUGACAUAUCGUUAGAAACUAAAUUAGAACAAACUUAAAAAAAAAAUAUAUAUAUAUAUAUAUAUAUAAUAUAUAUUAUGAUUUGUAAAAUAAUUAGAUUAUGUUUAGCUAAGUUUAUGAUUUGUAAAAUAAAUAGACAAAUUUGAUGUGAUAAAACUACAUUUACAAAUAAGGCGGUUUAACCCUAGUAUCCAAAGAUAAAAACUUACAGUUACAUCCAAAAUAACUACAUCAAAAAUUGCUCCAAAUAUAUCUACAGCAACAAAGUUACCGUUAAAGCCAAUUCUUUUACACCAAAAUUUUACAGGUAAGUUUAUACGGCCACGUCCCUAGUUUGCUUUGGGUCGGUCUGGUCUUUUUUUUGCCCACCCCAACAAGUAAUGGGUGAUAUUCAACGAUGUAGAUUCAGAUUCUGCGACCAAGGCAAAAUCACAUUUCGUUUCAGUAAAUUGCUCAGGAAAAAAGAAAAAGAACAUAACAAAUUGGAUUGGACUGUAAAAUCCAAAGUCUUAAAGUCCACAAGUGGUUCAUGUGACUCUAAUUAGACAUCCUUGGGGAUAGGAAAAGUGUGGCCUUCAUUAUUAUUGUUUUGUGAAUUAUUGGUGUAGAGUUAUUGGUCUUCGCAUAUGGCUUACUAUUUUCUCACCAAGUCAAUGAAAAUUAUUGGUGUUCCUCUUUCUCUUUCUCUUGUUCAUUCACCAAAGCAGUGAGUUUAGUGGUUUUGGUUUCUUUCGGAAAGUUUGAGCAAAGAUGGGAGGCUGUGUAUCACUAGAUUUAUCAUGUGAUCAAACGCUGAAUCAAACUUGCAACUGCUUAUUUGGGGAUGGAAAUUACAUUCAUAUGAUGAAGGCUAAUCUGGAGGCUCUGGAGACAACUAUGCAAGAACUUAGACAAAGGCGAGAUGAUCUGUUAACAAGAGUUUCCACAGAAGAAGAUAAAGGUUUGCAGCGGCUUGCUCAAGUAGAAGGAUGGUUGUCAAGGGUAGCACGUAUUGACUCUCAGGUCAGUGAUCUGCUUAAGGACGAACCAACUGAAACGAAAAGAUUGUGUCUUUUUGUAUAUUGUUCUACAAAGUGCAUAUCAAGCUGUGAGUAUGGUAAAAAGGUAUCAAAGAAGUUGGAAGAAGUUAAAGAGCUUCUAUCUAGAAAAGAUUUUGAAAAGGUGGCUGAAAAAAGACCUGCACCAAAGGUGGGGAAGAAACAUAUCCAAACAACAAUAGGUUUGGAUUCCAUGGUUGAAAAGGCAUGGAACAGCAUCAUGAAACCUGAACGAAGAACGUUAGGUAUCUAUGGCAUGGGGGGAGUUGGAAAAACAACCCUCUUAACUCAUAUCAACAACAAAUUGGACAAAGAGGUGAAUGGAUUUGAUGUUGUGAUAUGGGUUGUGGUCUCUCAAGAUUUGCAAUACAAGGGCAUUCAGGAUCAGAUUCUACGAAGAUUACGUGUUGACAAGGAAUGGGAAAAUCAAACAGAGGAGGAGAAAGCAUCUUCCAUAGACGAUAUCCUAGGAAGAAAGAAAUUUGUUCUGCUGUUAGAUGAUCUGUGGAGCGAGGUAGAUUUGAACAAGAUUGGAGUUCCACGUCCAACUCAAGAAAAUGGAUCGAAGAUAGUUUUCACCACUCGUUCAAAGGAAGUUUGCAGUGACAUGGAAGCUGAUGAUAAGUUGCAAAUUGAUUGUUUGCCAGCGAAUGAAGCGUGGGAACUGUUUCGAAGUAUAGUUGGAGAAGACACAUUAAAGCUGCAUCAGGAUAUUCCCACACUUGCAAAGAAAAUUUGUGAAAAAUGUUAUGGCUUGCCACUUGCACUCAAUGUGAUUGGCAAAGCUAUGAAAUAUAAAGAGGAUGUACACGAAUGGCGUCACGCAAAAAAGGUUCUCAGUACGUCUAGCCACGAGUUUCCAGGUAUGGAAGAAAAGAUUCUUUCAAUUUUGAAGUUCAGCUAUGAUGGCUUAAAGGAAGAAAAUGUGAAAUCAUGCUUCCUAUACUGUUCUUUGUUCCCGGAAGAUUAUGAAAUAAAGAAGGAGGAGUUGAUAGAGUAUUGGAUCAAUGAAGGAUUUAUAAAUGGAAAGAGAGAUGAAGAUGGAAGUAACAACCAAGGUCAUGUUAUAAUUGGUUCGUUAGUUCGUGCGCAUCUAUUGAUGGAAUCCGAAACUACUGUGAAAAUGCAUGAUGUGUUACGUGAAAUGGCUCUUUGGAUAGGGUCUACGUCUGCAAAAGAGGAAGAAAAGCAGUGCGUCAAAUCUGGUGUGAAGCUAAGCUGUAUACCAGAUGACAUCAACUGGUCAGUUUCGAGAAGGAUCUCGUUGAUGAGUAAUCAAAUUGAAAAGAUAUCUUGCUGCCCUGAGUGCCCCAACCUUUCGACUCUAUUUCUCCAGGGUAACAAUUUGGAGGGUAUACCGGGUGAAUUCUUUCAGUUUAUGAAAGCCCUUGUCGUCUUGGAUCUCUCGCAUAACCUACUUUGGGAAUUGCCGGAAGAAAUUUGCAGCUUGACUUCCUUG
This 4992-nucleotide long non-coding RNA is filed under the name Brassica rapa (field mustard). Its description in RNAcentral is "long non-coding RNA (BRAP_LNC004008)". The record is from RNAcentral. Lineage: Eukaryota; Viridiplantae; Streptophyta; Magnoliopsida; Brassicales; Brassicaceae.